Molecule: ribosomal RNA, 1093 nt
Filed under: Ectocarpus crouaniorum
Lineage: Eukaryota; Phaeophyceae; Ectocarpales; Ectocarpaceae
Description: eukaryotic LSU rRNA
Rfam family: Eukaryotic large subunit ribosomal RNA
Source: RNAcentral
CGGACCUCCGAUCAAGCAAGAGGACCCGCUGAAUUUAAGCAUAUAACUAAGCGGAGGAAAAGAAACUAACCAGGAUUCCCCCAGUAACGGCGAGUGAAGCGGGAAGAGCUCACGUUGUAAAUCUGACUUCGGUCCGAAUUGUAGUCUGGAGAGGCGUGACCAGCUGGAGACGGGGGCGAAGUCUCUUGGAAAAGAGCAUCAAGGAGGGUGACAAUCCCGUUCUUGCCCCCGCCUUCCACGCGUACGGUCCGUUUUCUACGAGUCGAGUUGCUUGGGAUUGCAGCUCAAAGCGGGUGGUAAAUUCCAUCUAAAGCUAAACACGGGUGGGAGACCGAUAGCGAACAAGUACCGUGAGGGAAAGAUGCAAAGAACUUUGAAAAGAGAGUUAAAGAGUGCCUGAAAUUGCUGAAAGGGAAGCGAAGGAAACCAGUGUCUGGCGGUUCCGCUUCUCCUUUGUCCCUCGGGGCAUUGGUUUGCGUUUCCGCCGUGGCCAGGGCCGGGUAGUGUUGCGGGAGUCUGCGCCUCGGAAGGUAGCAUCUCUUCGGAGUGUGAAGACCGUGGCGUGUCGUCGCGACGCUGGCUGGUUCUGACGAAAUGGUUUUCUUUACCCCGUCUUGAAACACGGACCAAGGAGUCUAACAUGCCCGCGAGUACAGGGGUGCUCAAACCCCCGUGCGCAGUGAAAGUGAAUGCAGGUGGGAAGCCGCAAGGUGGCACCAUCGACCGACCAUGUCUCUUCGGGGGCGAGGUUUGAGUGUGAGCGUGCAUGUUGGGACCCGAAAGAUGGUGAACUAUGCCUGAGUAGGGCGAAGCCAGGGGAAACUCUGGUGGAGGCUCGUAGCGAUUCUGACGUGCAAAUCGAUCGUGAGAUUUGGGUAUAGGGGCGAAAGACUAAUCGAACCAUCUAGUAGCUGGUUCCCUCCGAAAUUUCCCCCAGGAUAGCUGCAACCUGCGUUCAGUUUUAUCAGGUAAAGCGAAUGAUUAGAGGCUGCUGGGAAGUAACUUCCUAGCCCUAUUCUCAAACUUUAAAUGGGUAAGAGACCGGGGUCGCUUAAUUGGACCCUGUGUUGGAAUGAAGGUUGCUAGUGGGCCA